RNAcentral lists this ribosomal RNA (497 nucleotides) under uncultured bacterium. Its description in RNAcentral is "partial 16S ribosomal RNA". It matches the Rfam family "Bacterial small subunit ribosomal RNA", at positions 28 to 507 of the family's 1533-position model. The record is from RNAcentral.
GAUGAACGCUGGCGGCGUGCCUAAUACAUGCAAGUCGAGCGAACAGACGAGGCGCUUGCUCCUCUGACGUUAGCGGCGGGCGGGUGAGUAACACGUGUAUAACCUACCUAUAAGACUGGGAUCACUUCGGGACACCGGAGCUAAUCCCGGAUAAUAUAUUGAACCGCAUGGUUCAAUAGUGAAAGACGGUUUUGCUGUCACUUAUAGAUGGAUCCGCGCCGCAUUAGCUAGUUGGUAAGGUAACGGCUUACCAAGGCAACGAUGCGUAGCCGACCGGAGAGGGGGGUCGGCCACCCGGGAACUGAGACACGGUCCAGGCUCCUACGGGAGGGAGCAGUAGGGAAUGUGCCGCAAUGGGCGAAAGCCUGACGGAGCAACGGCGCGUGAGUGAUGAAGGUCUUCGGAUCGGAAAACUCUGUUAUGAGGGAAGAACAAAUGUGUAAGUAACUAUGCACGGAUUGACGGUACCUAGUCAGAAAGCCACGGCUAACUACGUG